GCAAACUGUGGCCUGUGUGGGAGAGGAGAGAGGGAGAUGGACGGAUAAGAUACUGUUUGUCGGUCUCUUUGCUUUAUCUUUAUUUUUUGUAUCUCUUUCUUUGUUAGACUUUCUCUUUUCUCUUCUUUCUGCAGAGGAUAUGAAAUCACAGCCACCUCUACCCGUCUUUUGAGUGUCCUCCGGUGAGGAGCCUUGAUGUUAGCGCGGAGCCGCACUCCGUGAGUUCAGCAGCAGAGGUGGUGGUACGUUAUUCUGCCAUCACACAGAGGAGACCUCAGACUGUUUGGCAGAGAACCAAGGAACAGGCAUUAUGUGUUGAAUGAUCAAGAACAACAAAACAACUUUAGUGGAUUUGAAGUGGAAAAGAAACUGAGUUGGACAACGACAGGAGCUGAAUUCCGUCAGGUUCAGACUUUUGACAAGUGAGAGCUGAGUUGGGUUUUCUGUCUGCCAGGCUAAAGCUUCUGGACGUCACGUGUCUGAAAGAGAAGACUUAUUUAACGGAAGACUGUGGAUGGGGAGGUGUUUGAAUGUCUGCUGGCACAGUGGUCAUCGCUGGAGGGAUCCUGGCUGCAGUCAUCCUACUUACCAUCGUAGCUGUGCUGUGUAUAUGUAGACUGCAGUAUUACUGCGGCAAGGGGGGGGAGUCAGAGAAGGAGGAGGAAGAGGAGGAGGAGGAGGAGGAGGAGGAAGGGGAGGAGCAAAGGCUGGUGGACAUGUAUCCGCCUCGCCCCUUGGCCCUGCCUCCACCCCCGACCCCACCCAUCCAGGACCAUUACAGCGACCGCACAGAUUCAGACAUCUACCCCCCUACGUUCCUUACCGAGCCAGACGGCCCCGCCAGCCCCUCCCCCCUUUUC
Molecule: long non-coding RNA, 860 nt
Filed under: Gadus morhua (Atlantic cod)
Lineage: Eukaryota; Metazoa; Chordata; Actinopteri; Gadiformes; Gadidae
Description: lncRNA (ENSGMOG00000034848.1)
Source: RNAcentral